RNAcentral lists this ribosomal RNA (648 nucleotides) under Strombidinopsis acuminata. Its description in RNAcentral is "partial Bacterial small subunit ribosomal RNA". It matches the Rfam family "Bacterial small subunit ribosomal RNA", at positions 251 to 918 of the family's 1533-position model. The record is from RNAcentral. Lineage: Eukaryota; Ciliophora; Spirotrichea; Choreotrichida; Strombidinopsidae.
GGUGAGGUAAUGGCUCACCAAGGCCAUGAUCAGUAGCUGGUUUGAGAGAACGAUCAGCCACACUGGGACUGAGACACGGCCCAGACUCCUCCGGGAGGCAGCAGUGAGGAAUUUUCCGCAAUGGGCGAAAGCCUGACGGAGCAAUACCGCGUGAGGGAUGAAGUAUCUUGGUAUGUAAACCUCUUUUCUCAAGAAAGAAGUUCUGACGGUACUUGAGGAAUAAGCAUCGGCUAACUCCGUGCCAGCAGCCGCGGUAAUACGGGGGAUGCAAGCGUUAUCCGGAAUCAUUGGGCGUAAAGCGCCUGUAGGUUGUUUAGUAAGUCCAUUGUUAAAGACCAGGGCUUAACCCUGGGAAAGCAAUAGAAACUACUAGACUUGAGUAUGGCAGGGGUAGAGGGAAUUUCUAGUGUAGCGGUGAAAUGCGUAGAUAUUAGAAAGAACACCGGUGGCGAAAGCGCUCUACUGGACCAUUACUGACACUGAGAGGCGAAAGCUAGGGUAGCAAAAGGGAUUAGAUACCCCUGUAGUCCUAGCCGUAAACGAUGGAUACUAGGUGUUGUGCAGUUCGUACAGUAUCUUAGCUAACGCGUUAAGUAUCCCGCCUGGGGAGUACGCUCGCAAGGGUGAAACUCAAAGGAAUUGACGGGG